AUUUGUACAAGUUGUGAAUUCCAAGUAUACAAUCAAUUUUCCUUUUGUGAAACCAGAAAUAAUAUCAAACAAUACCAUAAUUCUGAAUGUGGUACUAGUAAGCUUGUAAUUUUUAAUUCACCUUUGAAUUCAGGAUCACGAGUUAAGUCAAUUUUUUUUAUACUUGAUGGAUUUUAAGUGUUUAUUUUUCAAUAUUUUUCACACCUGAAGAAGGGGCAGUGGGACCCUGAAAGCUUGUGAAUAAAUCACUUCAAAAAUGUCAUCCAUACGAUCUGAUAACUCUACCUUAAUUUUUUUUAAAUUUUUUUCUGAGUAAUUUUAGUCUAACCUUACCCUUGAGUGAAGGAUCAUGUACAUUACGCAUAAAUAGAACUAGAUAUGUAGUUCUAGCAAUAUGGAUCUGUGAAUCAAUCACGCUUUUAAGGUCACAGUAUUCACAACUCCACCAUUUAUUUUGUAGGAUUUACAUAUUAUAUGUGAGCCAUAUUUUAAAUAGUGAUAGAGAUGACAACUAUCACAAACAAGUAUUGCAAAAUUCAUGUUGCAAUUUCUCGUCGAAAGGGCAAGUGCUUGUUGAUUGUUGUAUAGAACAAAACAUUGGCAAACUGGUUUUUGCAGUGACCACAAUGAACAGCAAGGCUUAUUAUUUCCUAUGAUUGUCAAGCCAGACCCAAAUUUCAAGAAUCCCCUGCGUCGACUGACCUUCAACUUCAACCCAUUUUAUAGACAUUGCAUAACGAAACUAAUGAAAGGACGCCAAUUGGUUUGACGGACUACAAACCAUGCCACGUAUGUACAUAUGUAUGUCGUGUGUGUUAUAUGGACAAGACUCUAAAUAAAACAUUGUUAUAUCGUGGUGUGGGUCAAAUAGUCCAUUUCGACAUUUAACCUAGCCCUUGAACCCUAAUAAUCUACUUGUGAAUAAUGAAAUUUUAGCAGUAGUAUUAUUAUAGCACCCCCGGUGCAUGGUUGUUGCACUGUCAACUCUGGAUGAUGAUCAGCAUACUUUAAACAUGCUAAAAAUCUAACAAAUGAAUUUUCUCAUAAUAAGGAACGUUGAGGUAGAUUAAAACACUAUGUUUCUGGCAUGUUUCUGGAUAUUUGUCGUUGAAAAUGGGGAUACAUACACAUGCAAGAAUACAGUAUUUCUAUCAGACCUCAUGCGUAUGACACUUAACUUUCUGUAAGUUUUUUCUAUGUAUAUGCAUAUUUACAGCUACUUCAUUCCUUUGAGAGUCACGUUGCAAGGCUGUUAGCCAAUGCCAAUUCGCAAAAUCCUACUUUGCAAUUUUGGAUUCAUACGCAACACAAGUUAGAAACUAGAAAGACAAAAACGAAAUAUUAUUGAAAGAAUUUCUGGACUUAUCUAUUAUUAAUACUCUCAAUAUGUGAGAUACACAAAAUAAAUUAGUACGUAUAGUAAAUUAAGAGGAAUCUUCGUUUUUAAAAGAAGCAGCAAAUUCUGUUCCCGUCAACGGUGGCCACUUUCUUCCGUACAUUGAUUCAGAGCCAGUCUCAUACACAUGGAUUUUCACUCUAGAAAAGCCAGUUUUCCUAAAAAUAUCAAGUCUUUAUUUCUAGCUUACAAUUUGUUUGCUAUCACAUUAUCGGUCGCCGUUAUUUGGUCGGCCAGAUUAACGGGGGUGGGGGCGUCCCCCCAAACUAAAUAUUUAUCCCAGUGUACAUUGGACACAGACUGUGACAACUCUAGAACAUUUCUACGUUGUUCCAAUAAACAGUGUCAAUGUUCCGCUAUCAAUUACUUUGAUGUUGAGACGAAUCGAUGUCUAAUUCGGGUUGGAGGUACAUGUCAGCUAAAAAGUAAAAAUCAAUAUUGCGUCUCGUUUGCAGAGUGUCGUCCAUCAUUCACCGUUUCAAAUGGAAAAUCUUCUGACAUGGGGACAUGUCAAUGCAGAUCAAAACACAAGGAAACAAUACAUAGUUUGUGUUCGAGGGGUGCCACAAUCCAAAAUUUUUACUACGGAACCACUCCUUUCUUAUUUUAUCUUAUCUUGUAUAUUACAAUGUGAUGAGAUUCUUUAGCUUUUUGCAUACUCAAAAUACUCGUACAUAUGUACCAGUACACAAAGAAUUCAACAACUAGUUUCCGAAUGAGUUCAUGAACAUAAUGCCAAUCUUGUGACAAUAUAAUUUGACAAUAGAUGAAAAUAUCAAACAGUUUAUUGGAUAAAAUACAGAGUUAUUAUAUAAAUAAGAUAUAGAAUUGUAAUGGAUAUAGCAGUUAUCAAUUUGAGAAUUUUAAAAAUAAAAUAUGUAAUGUGA
Folsomia candida is the source of this 2283-nucleotide long non-coding RNA. RefSeq lists it as uncharacterized. The transcript is spliced from 2 exons. The record is from RefSeq and is a predicted model, not a curated record. Lineage: Eukaryota; Metazoa; Arthropoda; Collembola; Entomobryomorpha; Isotomidae.